CAGCAGCCGCGGUAAUACGGAGGGGGCUAGCGUUAAUCGGAUUUACUGGGCGUAAAGCGUGCGUAGGCGGCUUCUUAAGUCGGAUGUGAAAUCCCUGAGCUUAACUUAGGAAUUGCAUUCGAUACUGGGAAGCUAGAGUAUGGGAGAGGAUGGUAGAAUUCCAGGUGUAGCGGUGAAAUGCGUAGAGAUCUGGAGGAAUACCGGUGGCGAAGGCGGCCCCCUGGACGAAGACUGACGCUCAGGUGCGAAAGCGUGGGGAGCAAACAGGAUUAGAUACCCCUGUAGUCCCUGUCUCUUAUAC
RNAcentral lists this ribosomal RNA (301 nucleotides) under uncultured bacterium. RNAcentral's name for it is "partial 16S ribosomal RNA". It matches the Rfam family "Bacterial small subunit ribosomal RNA", at positions 509 to 807 of the family's 1533-position model. The record is from RNAcentral.